UCCCACACAGAAGAGGGGCAUCUGGCAGAUCUGGCCAAGCUGAGUGGACCAGUUGAGACAAUUCAAACUGAGGUUGAAUUCAAAUAAGUGCACUAUCAGAGUGCGGGCCGGUAAGCCGUUGGGGGUUUAUUGUAAGUAAGAGAGGAAUCGAGGUUGAUCCUGCUUAAAAAAAAAGAAAAAAAAGAAAGAAAACAAAACAAGA
Molecule: long non-coding RNA, 202 nt
Filed under: Lathyrus oleraceus (garden pea)
Lineage: Eukaryota; Viridiplantae; Streptophyta; Magnoliopsida; Fabales; Fabaceae
Description: Pisum sativum (pea) long non-coding RNA (PSAT_LNC037555)
Source: RNAcentral